Dioscorea cayenensis subsp. rotundata (Guinea yam) is the source of this 1864-nucleotide RNA transcript. RefSeq lists it as uncharacterized. The record is from RefSeq and is a predicted model, not a curated record. The transcript has 8 exons. Lineage: Eukaryota; Viridiplantae; Streptophyta; Magnoliopsida; Dioscoreales; Dioscoreaceae.
UCCACCAACUGGGCCAUACGUCGAGGAGGGAGCGACCUUGGAUCUCGAUCGAAGAUGGGGCGAGAUGCCGCCGCCGAGGUCGCCGCCGCCGCCGUGCCACUGGAGAGCCGGCCAGGGAUCAUCCUCAUCGGCCCCCCUAACGCCGGCAAGCGCACUCUUCUCUCCAGAUUGCUUUCGGUAGAUAUCCCAGAAACAUGUGAUUUAUCAACAGGAGUACUCUGUCAUGGGUGGACUAUUGAUACAAAGUAUUACUCAGCUGAUCUUGCUAUAUGGACUGCCCAUCUUCAGGAAGGGUUCUCCCUUGGAGUACUACCUGCUGUUGCACAGCUGUCUGCAUUAGUGAUGGUUUUUGAUAUGAGUGAUGAGUCUUCAUUCAUUGCCCUUCAAAAUUGUGUUGCUGGCAUUGAUAUUCAGAAGUUUGAGAUAUUACUGUGUGUAGGGAACAAGGCAGACCUUGUACCUGGUCAUUAUGCUCAUGCAGAAUAUAGGAGAUUUCUGCAGAGGCAUGGAGAGUCUAGUAGUGACCCUCAUUCUGAGUUCUUAAACUAUGGAAUUGAUGAAACUGAGGGCUGUAGUUUAUUGGGAGGAGAAGAUCCAGUGUUGGAAAUACGGAAGUCAAGUUUGGAAUGGUGUUGCCAAAAUAAUGUUGAGUUCAUUGAAUCUUGUGCAUCUAAUGCUGCUUUUGAUAAAUGUUUAUCAGUUGAUGGUGAUAUGCAAGGUGUAGAGCGAUUAUAUGGAGCUCUUUCUGCCCAUAUGUGGCCUGGAAUGGUACUGAAGUCUGGAAAUCGAAUAUACAUACCAUCCAUGGUUAACAAGGAAGGUAAAUUUAAUGAGAUGACAGAUGAUGAAUCAGAUUACGAGAUCGACUAUGAGCGCUUAUCAGGUUCUGAUGAACCAGUAGAUGACACGGGUGGUCCAUCAAACUCAAUCCAGGAGCCCUCAGUGAGUAUAACAGAAGAGAAAGUAAUUGAUGUUGGAGCACAUAUCAGAAAUACUAAAGAAAUAAACGAGGGGAAGAUUGACUGCCUUGGAGAUGAAGUUGAGACAUCGUCCGUUAAAGAACCAGGUAAUGGUUCACAUGUUCUUCCAGGUAAUACCACCAUAGAGAAAAGUGUGGAAGAAGAAUCUUUCAGCCAACGUACAUUGGAGAGGGAUGCAGAUCAGGAGCAUAUCAUCGAGACAUCGGCAGGACAGGUGAAAUCAGAAGUUGAGAAUUAUGAGAUAUCACAGAAGGCUGAAAUUAACGCAGCCAACCCCUCUGCGUCAGAUGAGGAUGAUAGCCACUAUGGGCUUGAUGAUCUAGAAAAACUUAUGGGUGAGAUCAGUAAUAUUCGUGAUAACUCAAGACUGAUGCCAGAUUUCCAAAGGAGGGAAAUGGCUGCAAAUCUGGCUUUAAAAUUGGCUACUAUGUUUGGUGAUGGCAGUGAUGAAGAUAGCUAUUGAAAAAUCAGAAACAAGGCAGUGGUGAAGCUUGUCUAAGUCCCCAACUGAGAUGCCAAACUGCAGCAGGUUUUGGAUUGUAGAAUACGCUGCCCCCCAGAUACACGCAUAGCAGUUUCAGGACUUCGUGUACUUGCUGAUUCUUCCAAGUGGGCAUAAGAAUCACUUUAAAGCAGUCAAGAACUAGGCAACACCGUCCAAAGUGGCAGGUUUGCAUUUGUUUAAUUUGAUGCUUAUAUGAUGGUCUAAGGUGAUAAUCAGUCAAAAAGUUGGCAAAUUGGCUGGACUGUAUUGGAUGUCAAAAGACUAUAAAACUAGUGUAAUUCACAAGAGAAGAAAAAAAGUAAAAUAAAAUAAGGGUAGGAAUAAAAUUAUUGUAUGGAUAUUGUUCUCUGUAUUGGGUUGAGUAAAUGGAUUAAGAAUC